This 518-nucleotide ribosomal RNA is filed under the name uncultured bacterium. RNAcentral's name for it is "bacterial SSU rRNA". It matches the Rfam family "Bacterial small subunit ribosomal RNA", at positions 8 to 516 of the family's 1533-position model. The record is from RNAcentral.
AGAGUUUGAUCCUGGCUCAGGAUGAACGCUAGCUACAGGCUUAACACAUGCAAGUCGAGGGGCAGCAUCAUCAAAGCUUGCUUUGAUGGAUGGCGACCGGCGCAUGGGUGAGUAACACGUAUCCAACCUGCCGACAACACUGGGAUAGCCUUUCGAAAGAAAGAUUAAUACCGGAUGGCAUAAUUAUUCCGCAUGGGAUAAUUAUUAAAGAAUUUCGGUUGUCGAUGGGGAUGCGUUCCAUUAGGCAGUUGGCGGGGUAACGGCCCACCAAACCUACGAUGGAUAGGGGUUCUGAGAGGAAGGUCCCCCACAUUGGAACUGAGACACGGCCCAAACUCCUACGGGAGGCAGCAGUGAGGAAUAUUGGUCAAUGGACGAGAGUCUGAACCAGCCAAGUAGCGUGAAGGAUGACUGCCCUAUGGGUUGUAAACUUCUUUUAUACGGGAAUAAAGUGAGCCACGUGUGGCUUUUUGUAUGUACCGUAUGAAUAAGGAUCGGCUAACUCCGUGCCAGCAGCC